GAUAUUUUAGAAAUAACAUUAAAUGCCUACUUUAUUAGCUGAUGGAAAAAUGAUUUAACCAUCUCUUAGGAGCCUAUUCUUUUAUGGGUAAAUAUCAUAAAAAAGCUGAUUAACUUUUCUAUUGACCAACUUACUUAUAUUCUCAUAUUUUUUAAGAUAAGUAAGUUACUUUCUCAUAAAUAACAUUUAUUCAUAAAAUAAAAAAAAUCUUAUCCA
RNAcentral lists this long non-coding RNA (216 nucleotides) under Elaeis guineensis (African oil palm). Its description in RNAcentral is "long non-coding RNA (EGUI_LNC019370)". Lineage: Eukaryota; Viridiplantae; Streptophyta; Magnoliopsida; Arecales; Arecaceae. The record is from RNAcentral.